UGGCGGACGGGUGAGGAAUACAUCGGAAUCUACUCUGUCGUGGGGGAUAACGUAGGGAAACUUACGCUAAUACCGCAUACGACCUACGGGUGAAAGCAGGGGAUCUUCGGACCUUGCGCGAUUGAAUGAGCCGAUGUCGGAUUAGCUAGUUGGCGGGUUAAAGGCCCACCAAGGCGACGAUCCGUAGCUGGUCUGAGAGGAUGAUCAGCCACACUGGAACUGAGACACGGUCCAGACUCCUACGGGAGGCAGCAGCC
This 257-nucleotide ribosomal RNA is filed under the name uncultured Stenotrophomonas sp. RNAcentral describes it as "partial 16S ribosomal RNA". It matches the Rfam family "Bacterial small subunit ribosomal RNA", at positions 96 to 355 of the family's 1533-position model. The record is from RNAcentral. Lineage: Bacteria; Pseudomonadati; Pseudomonadota; Gammaproteobacteria; Lysobacterales; Lysobacteraceae.